Molecule: small RNA, 26 nt
Filed under: Bombyx mori (domestic silkworm)
Lineage: Eukaryota; Metazoa; Arthropoda; Insecta; Lepidoptera; Bombycidae
Description: ovarian small RNA-33563
Source: RNAcentral
UGCAUCUGUCCACACUCUCGGUGCAA